RNAcentral lists this ribosomal RNA (443 nucleotides) under uncultured bacterium. Its description in RNAcentral is "partial 16S ribosomal RNA". It matches the Rfam family "Bacterial small subunit ribosomal RNA", at positions 338 to 795 of the family's 1533-position model. The record is from RNAcentral.
CCUACGGGUGGCUGCAGUGGGGAAUAUUGGGCAAUGGAGGAAACUCUGACCCAGCAACGCCGCGUGAAUGAUGAAGGUCUUCGGAUUGUAAAGUUCUUUUCUAAGGGAAGCAGAAAGUGACGGUACCUUAGGAAUAAGCCUCGGCUAACUACGUGCCAGCAGCAGCGGUAAUACGGGGGAGGCAAGCGUUAUCCGGAAUGACUGGGCGUAAAGGGUGCGUAGGUGGGUUGACAAGUUGGUAGGGUAACCCCGAGGCUUAACCUCCGCACUACUGCCAAAACUGGUGGACUCGAGUGCAGGAGGGGCAAGUGGAAUGCCUGGUGUAGCGGUGGAAUGCGUAGAUAUUAGGAAGAACACCAGUGGCGAAGGCGGUUUGCUGGACUGUAACUGACGCUGAGGCACGAAAGCGUGGGGAGCAAACAGGAUUAGAUACCCUUGUAGUC